Molecule: unclassified non-coding RNA, 186 nt
Filed under: uncultured Atheliales
Lineage: Eukaryota; Fungi; Basidiomycota; Agaricomycetes; Atheliales
Description: sequence contains ITS1
Source: RNAcentral
UUGAAAUUACCGGUGAGGGUUGUAGCUGGCCUCUCGGGGCAUGUGCACGCCUGAGCCUUUCAAUCCACACACACCUGUGAACCUAAUGUGAGGGCCCGUAAAAAAGGUCCUUAUGUCUUAUCACCAACCCGAGUCCAAUAGAAUGUAACAUAUGUCUUCGCCUUAAAAAGCGUUGAUAAACAUAUA